UGCCAGCAGCCGCGGUAAUACGGAGAUGGCAACCGUUAUUCGGUAUCACUGGGCUUAAAGAGUUCGUAGGCGGCUAUGUAGGUCAGAUGUGAAAUCCCACGGCUCAACCGUGGAACUGCGUUUGAAACCACAUAGCUUGAGGGAGAUAGAGGUGAGCGGAACAGAUGGUGGAGCGGUGAAAUGCGUUGAUAUCAUCUGGAACACCGGUGGCGAAAGCGGCUCACUGGAUCUCUUCUGACGCUGAGGAACGAAAGCUAGGGUAGCGAACGGGAUUAGAUA
RNAcentral lists this ribosomal RNA (279 nucleotides) under uncultured bacterium. RNAcentral describes it as "partial 16S ribosomal RNA". It matches the Rfam family "Bacterial small subunit ribosomal RNA", at positions 506 to 784 of the family's 1533-position model. The record is from RNAcentral.